Molecule: ribosomal RNA, 699 nt
Filed under: uncultured bacterium
Lineage: Bacteria
Description: bacterial SSU rRNA
Rfam family: Bacterial small subunit ribosomal RNA
Source: RNAcentral
AGAGUUUGAUCCUGGCUCAGAACGAACGCUGGCGGCGUGCCUAAGACAUGCAAGUCGAACGAGAAAGUCACCUUCGGGUGGCGAGUACAGUGGCGCACGGGUGAGUAACGCGUGGGUAAUCUGCCCUAGGGUCUGGGACAACUCCGGGAAACUGGAGCUAAUACCGGAUAAGACCACGAGGUCCUCGGACUUCGCGGAAAAAGGUGGCCUCUUCUUGAAAGCCAUCGCCUUUGGAUGAGCCCGCGUCCCAUUAGCUUGUUGGUGAGGUAAAAGCUCACCAAGGCCGCGAUGGGUAGCUGGUCUGAGAGGAUGAUCAGCCACACUGGAACUGAGACACGGUCCAGACUCCUACGGGAGGCAGCAGUCGGGAAUCUUGUGCAAUGGGGGAAACCCUGACACAGCAACGCCGCGUGAGGGAUGAAGGCCCUCGGGUCGUAAACCUCUGUCGGGAGGGAAGAAAGGGCUGUCGGUUAAUAUCCGGCGGCUUUGACGGUACCUCCAAAGGAAGGACCGGCAAACUCCGUGCCAGCAGCCGCGGUAAUACGGAGGGUCCAAGCGUUGUUCGGAAUCAUUGGGCGUAAAGCGGGUGCAGGCGGUUUGGUAAGUCGGAUGUGAAAUCCCAGGGCCCAACCCUGGAACUGCAUUCGAAACUAUCAGACUAGAGUCGCGGAGAGGAUGGCGGAAUUCCCGGUGUAGGGG